This 799-nucleotide ribosomal RNA is filed under the name uncultured bacterium. RNAcentral's name for it is "bacterial SSU rRNA". It matches the Rfam family "Bacterial small subunit ribosomal RNA", at positions 8 to 796 of the family's 1533-position model. The record is from RNAcentral.
AGAGUUUGAUCCUGGCUCAGAUUGAACGCUGGCGGCAUGCCUAACACAUGCAAGUCGAACGGCAGCACAGCAGAGCUUGCUCUGUGGGUGGCGAGUGGCGGACGGGUGAGUAAUGCAUCGGGACCUACCUCAACGUGGGGGAUAACGUAGGGAAACUUACGCUAAUACCGCAUACGUCCUACGGGAGAAAGCAGGGGACCUUCGGGCCUUGCGCGGUGAGACGGACCGAUGUUCGAUUAGCUAGUUGGUGAGGUAAUGGCUCACCAAGGCGACGAUCGAUAGCUGGUCUGAGGGGAUGAUCAGCCACACUGGAACUGAGACACGGUCCAGACUCCUACGGGAGGCAGCAGUGGGGAAUAUUGGACAAUGGGCGCAAGCCUGAUCCAGCAAUGCCGCGUGUGUGAAGAAGGCCUUCGGGUUGUAAAGCACUUUUAUCGGGAGCGAAAUACCAUUGGCUAAUAACCAGUGGGGCUGACGGUACCCGAGGAAUAAGCACCGGCUAACUUCGUGCCAGCAGCCGCGGUAAUACGAAGGGUGCAAGCGUUAAUCGGAAUUACUGGGCGUAAAGGGUGCGUAGGCGGUUUGUUAAGUCUGUCGUGAAAUCCCCGGGCUCAACCUGGGAAUGGCGAUGGAUACUGGCAAGCUAGAGUGUGUCAGAGGAUGGUGGAAUUUCCGGUGUAGCGGUGAAAUGCGUAGAGAUCGGAAGGAACAUCAGUGGCGAAGGCGGCCAUCUGGGACAACACUGACGCUGAAGCACGAAAGCGUGGGGAGCAAACAGGAUUAGAUACCCUGGUAGUCC